CUGAACCAGCCAAGUAGCGUGAAGGAUGAAGGUCCUACGGAUUGUAAACUUCUUUUAUACGGGAAUAAAGUGAGGCACGUGUGCCUUUUUGUAUGUACCGUAUGAAUAAGGAUCGGCUAACUCCGUGCCAGCAGCCGCGGUAAUACGGAGGAUCCGAGCGUUAUCCGGAUUUAUUGGGUUUAAAGGGAGCGUAGGCGGACGCUUAAGUCAGUUGUGAAAGUUUGCGG
RNAcentral lists this ribosomal RNA (227 nucleotides) under uncultured Bacteroides sp. RNAcentral describes it as "partial 16S ribosomal RNA". It matches the Rfam family "Bacterial small subunit ribosomal RNA", at positions 383 to 607 of the family's 1533-position model. Lineage: Bacteria; Pseudomonadati; Bacteroidota; Bacteroidia; Bacteroidales; Bacteroidaceae. The record is from RNAcentral.